Molecule: ribosomal RNA, 567 nt
Filed under: uncultured marine group III euryarchaeote
Lineage: Archaea; Methanobacteriati; Thermoplasmatota; Thermoplasmata; Candidatus Thermoprofundales
Description: bacterial SSU rRNA
Rfam family: Archaeal small subunit ribosomal RNA
Source: RNAcentral
AUACCCCGGUAGUCCAGGGUGUAAACGCUGCGGGCUUGGUGUUGGGGGUCCUUAGUGGGCGCCCAGUGCCGGAGAGAAGUUGUUAAGCCUGCUGCAUGGGGAGUACGUCCGCAAGGAUGAAACUUAAAGGAAUUGGCGGGGGAGCACCGCAACGGGAGGAGCGUGCGGUUCAAUUGGAUUCAACACCGGACAACUCACCAGGAGCGACGAUUACAUGAAGGCCAGGCUGAUGACCUUGCCUGAUUUUUCGAGAGGUGGUGCAUGGCCGUCGUCAGUUCGUACUGUAAAGCGUUCUCUUAAGUGAGAUAACGAACGAGACCCUCACUAAUAAUUGCUAGCGUUUUCUCUGGAAGGCGCGCACAUUAUUGGGACCGCUGUCGCUAAGACAGAGGAAGGAGGGGACAACGGUAGGUCCGUAUGCCCCGAAUCUCCUGGGCUACACGCGCGCUACAAAGGACGGGACAAUGGGUUCCUACAUCGAAAGGUGACGGCAAUCCCGAAACCCGUUCGUAGUUCGGAUCGAGGGCUGUAACUCGCCCUCGUGAAGCUGGAUUCCGUAGUAAUCGC